This is a long non-coding RNA of Coregonus clupeaformis (lake whitefish), 625 nucleotides long. RefSeq lists it as uncharacterized. The transcript has 4 exons. Lineage: Eukaryota; Metazoa; Chordata; Actinopteri; Salmoniformes; Salmonidae. The record is from RefSeq and is a predicted model, not a curated record.
AUGGGACACACCUUGCUCUGUGUGCUACUCUUGCUGAGUACACUCAUCAACUCUGGACACUCUGAAGAUGAUGAUGCUCUGCCUGUGGCCUCAGUGAGUGUCUCUCCUCAUGGUCUCCUCUACUCUGGAGAGACAGUCACUCUGCAGUGUGUCAUACCAGGCUACACAGACUGGACGUACUACUGGUACAAAAACAACCAACGCCUUCCUGAUGAGACCAGUAAAGUCAUUGAUAUCACCAUCCCCAUCACUCAGACUGGUCUGGUUGGUCAGUACAGAUGUGAGGGGACGAGGACAGAUUGGCCCCAGAAGUCACAACCCAGUGGUGACAUCACUAUCAGUGUCACUGCUCUGCCCAAAGCUACACUGACUGUAAAGCCAAACCCUGCAUACACUGGAGAGACAGUUACUCUGACGUGUUCAGUAGGGUCUGACAGUAGCUGGAGCUAUCAGUGGUACAAAGACAGGAAUGAUAAUGUAGUAUCCCAGUCUGGUUACAGUAACAUUGGAGUCUCUCACACCAUCAGUAGAGCUGGUGUGUCUGACCAGGGUCAGUACUGGUGUGAAGGGAACACAGUGUCUAGACCCACAUCUUCACUAACAAGUGAUCCUGUCACUCUCACUG